AUGGGGCCCACAUGGAGGCUGCAGCACCCCGCUGGGUCGCAGGAACGCAGGGAGAUGGUGCUGCCCCAGGACAGAAGAGCCCUCAGCUGUGCUCAGAUGCCCUGGACUUGGCUGACUGGUUUGCUGAGAAGCAGCCUGAGCCUUGCUUCUGCCACACAAGAACAUGUUAGGUAUCAGGACGUGUCCCAGCACCGGAAAGCACAAGCUCUGCAUUUUCACGGAGAAUGUCUUAGAACACAAAUCGUCCUGAAGGGCCUCUCUCCCCGUGCUCCUCUCCACAUCUUUAUUGAGAUGGCUGCUGCUUCCCCUCACCCCAAAUACCGAGCUUCCCCUAAGUCUCAGUCCGCCUUGCUCCUGAAGCCCCACUGCUGCUCCCCACGCUUCCUGUCUCUGGCCACACUGCGUCCAUCAAGGUCGGCAAAUCCUCAGGCUUUCCACAGUCUCCAUGGUGACCACGCAGCUCUGUGUCAGGGCUUCAGCUGGCCAGGGACAGCGUGGGAGCUCACGCACACAGCAUGUUCCAAUAAAACUUUAUGUAUAGGCCUUGAAAUUAGAAUUUUCACUGGUUACAUGACAUUAGCAUUUGAUUUUGUUUCAGCCAUUUCAAAGGUGAGAAACCGGUCUUAGACCCUGGGCUGCACCGAGCCAGGGGUGAGCUGAGAUCAGCCUGAGCCUUAGUUUGCUGAUUUGUGUUGUGGUGAGCUCAGGCUCUGGAUGCUGUUAGGGUUCUCUCUACCUCAGCCUCGUCCUGAGUCCUCUGGGUGAUGGAGACACGGAGGCGGGACUGCAGGGAGGGCUCUCUCUCUCUCUCUCUCCUCCCCACCCACCUCUAUUCCACCAGGAGUAAUGGUUCCCACCCCUGUCCUUGCCCAGCCGCGAGUCUCAGCUUCCACAGGGCUGGGGAGCAACAGGAAGUCAUCAAAGAGAGACCUUUUCUGCGUCAGCCCUCUUGUGGACCCAGAGCCUGCCGGUUUUAUUUUAUUUCUCUCCUUGUCUGCAAGAUCAGGUGGGGAAACCAAGGCUGGGUCAAGCUGUAAGCAGGCUGAGAGAGCAGGGC
Long non-coding RNA from Fukomys damarensis (Damara mole-rat), 1057 nucleotides. NCBI's taxonomy places the organism in Eukaryota, Metazoa, Chordata, Mammalia, Rodentia, Bathyergidae. The record is from Ensembl.